GCUAAUGUAGCUUAAUUAAAGCAUAUCACUGAAGAUGUUAAGAUAGACCCUAAAAAGUCUCAUAAGCA
This 68-nucleotide transfer RNA is filed under the name Phenacogrammus interruptus (Congo tetra). RNAcentral describes it as "tRNA-Phe". It matches the Rfam family "tRNA". From Rfam's summary of the family: Transfer RNA (tRNA) molecules are approximately 80 nucleotides in length. Their secondary structure includes four short double-helical elements and three loops (D, anti-codon, and T loops). Lineage: Eukaryota; Metazoa; Chordata; Actinopteri; Characiformes; Alestidae. The record is from RNAcentral.